Erinaceus europaeus (western European hedgehog) is the source of this 2824-nucleotide RNA transcript. It is a transcript of the gene named dematin actin binding protein, with no coding region annotated. The transcript is spliced from 16 exons. NCBI's taxonomy places the organism in Eukaryota, Metazoa, Chordata, Mammalia, Eulipotyphla, Erinaceidae. The record is from RefSeq and is a predicted model, not a curated record.
CCCGCACCUCCGCCCCACAGGAGGCCGGCGGCUAGCGCGGCUCCUCCUUGGCGGCUCGGGUUUCCUAGCCUGUGCGGCACAUCCCGUGCUACCUGUUGGGACGCAGAGAACCCCAGCCCUGGGGCCGGCUGAGCCUCGGGGCCGGGCCGGGCCUGGACGGGUGUCAGUGAGGGCUGCGGGCGGGCGGGCAGGAGUGAGGCCCGCAGGCCAGGACGCUGCAGCCACCCCAGCAGGAUAGCCGAGAGCUCUCCGCCCUCGCUCCUCACCCACCCAGCACAGCCGGCUUCCUUCCCUGGCUGGUGCCACCUGGAAACAGGCUGGGCUUCUGGCGGAACUGUGGGUUACCUAGACUGUGAGGAGCAGCGCCUGGCCCUCCCCGCCUGCCAGACACCGGGCCUGGGAAGAGGCCCCGCAGCCCGCAGAGCCACCGAGGGAUGAGGACACCGCAGCCCACUGGACCCGCCACUCUGCACUCGAGGCCAGAGCCUGGCAGAGCCUGAGGGCCCCGGGUCCCCCUGGCGCACAGGGCUCAACUGGUGACCUGCCCGCCGUCCCCUGCAUGGAGCGCCUGCAGAAGCAACCACUCACCUCCCCCGGGAGCGUCAGCUCCUCCCGAGACUCCAGUGUGCCUGGCUCUCCCUCCAGCAUCGUGGCCAAGAUGGACAAUCAGGUGCUGGGCUACAAGGAUCUGGCCGCCAUCCCCAAGGACAAGGCCAUCCUGGACAUCGAGAGGCCAGACCUUAUGAUCUAUGAGCCCCACUUUACUUAUUCUCUUCUGGAGCAUGUGGAGCUGCCCAGAAGCCGGGAGCGCUCUCUGUCACCCAAAUCCACAUCCCCACCACCAUCCCCAGAGGUGUGGGCAGAGAGCAGGUCCCCUGGAACCUUUUCCCAGGCUGCAACCCCACGAACCACUGGCACCCCCCGGACCAGCCUGCCCCAUUUCCACCAUCCUGAGACCACCCGUCCUGAUUCCAACAUUUACAAGAAGCCACCCAUCUACAAGCAGAGAGAGUCCAUGGGAGGCAGCCCUCAGAGCAAGCACCUCAUUGAGGACCUCAUCAUCGAGUCAUCCAAGUUCCCUGCAGCCCAGCCCCCGGACCCAAACCAGCCAGCCAAGAUUGAAACUGACUACUGGCCAUGCCCCCCAUCGCUGGCUGUUGUGGAGACUGAAUGGAGGAAGCGAAAAGCAUCUCGAAAGGGGGCAGAGGAAAAAGAGGAGGAGGAAGAUGAUGACUCCGGGGAGGAGAUGAAGGCCUUCAGGGAGCGCCAGAGAGAGGAACUCAGCAAGGUAACUUCCAACUUGGGAAAGAUGAUCUUGAAAGAAGAGAUGGAAAAGUCAUUGCCUAUCCGGAGGAAGACCCGCUCCCUGCCUGACCGGACACCCUUCCAUACCUCCUUGCACACAGGGACAUCUAAGUCUUCUUCUCUCCCCGCCUAUGGCAGGACCACCCUGAGCCGGCUUCAGUCCACAGACUUCAGUCCAUCAUCAGGGAGUGAGGCUGGAAGCCCAGGCCUACAGGUGAGUGCCACCUGGAGGGGAGCGCUCUGAGUUUGGAAAGGCCAGACUGGCAACGAGCAGUGUCGGGGGAGGGGGGCUAGGGGCCUCGGAGUUUCCUGGUGAGGACACAGAAACCCAGGGUAAGGCUGGGGAGGCCUCCCUGUCCCACUCUGGCUCACUGCGGCUUUGGUCUCCCCAGAACGGAGAGGGCCAAAGGGGGAGGAUGGACCGGGGGAACUCCCUGCCCUGUGUGCUGGAGCAGAAGAUCUACCCGUAUGAAAUGCUGGUAGUGACCAACAAGGGGAGGACCAAGCUGCCACCUGGUGUGGAUCGAAUGAGGCUGGAGAGGCACCUGUCGGCUGAGGACUUCUCCAGGGUGUUCGCCAUGUCACCUGAAGAAUUUGGCAAGCUGGCUCUGUGGAAGCGGAACGAGCUCAAGAAGAAGGCCUCGCUCUUCUGACCGCCCCCUUUGCUUUAGGGCUCUGCAGUGGGGUUCUGUACCCCAGCACUCUGGGCCCUGAAGCAUCAUCACCUGGCCGGGGCAACGGGGAGGUGGGGCAGAAGUGGAACCACUUGCAGUGCAGGGGGUGUGCGAAUUAUGGGUGUCCUUCCCCGUGAGCUGUGGCACCUUCACAGCCCACCCUGGACUCUGCCAUACACAGUCCUGUUUGUAUUCCCUCCCUAUCCUCACCCCCAGGUGAAUGCCCCUGGAAGAAAGAGAAUGGGAAGUGAACAUGGCCAGGCCUGGUGAUAGUUUUUUACCCACAUGUGGUGGGUAAAAUCCUGGGCCUGGACGCAGAAGGGUGAGGGUGGGGCCAUCAGGCUGGCAGAGAGCCUUCCAGAGCCUGAGGGUGGGGGGGAGACUCUCCUCCCCACCUCCAAUUAGACAGUGCCCCUGCUGCAUGGGGCCUGGGGGACGCCCUGCCUGCCUGCUUGCUUGCCCUGUCCCCUCCCUGCCACCCUCAAGCUACCAGAGCCUCUUGCUCCAGCCCUGUGGCUCCCCAGAAACCUUCCUUGCCUCAGAGUGGAGAUGUCACCCACACAAACCCCACCCUGUCACCAGCCUCCAGGCAAAGCCAGCUAGAGUCCUGCCUUCUAGCACCUGCCCAAGACCUAGGAAGAGCCUGCACCUUUGAGGCCCCUUGGCAGGGGUCCAGAUACCAGGCCCACACCCAUGCAUCCCAUCACACUCUCUAAAGAAUGUAAUUUAUUGGGGCAUCCCCCAGCUACUUUCCUCACCCUCUCUGCCCUCCCUUAAUCACACUCUCAGCUUUUCUUCUCAACAGACACAUAUAUGUAUAUAAUUAUAUCUAUCUAUCUAUCUAU